UCCGGUUUGUCACCGGCAGUCAACCUAGAGUGCCCACCUUUACGUGCUGGCAACUAAGUUCAAGGGUUGCGCUCGUUGCGGGACUUAACCCAACAUCUCACGACACGAGCUGACGACAACCAUGCACCACCUGUCUCCAAUGUCCCGAAGGCCGCACCUAUCUCUAGGUGAUUCAUUGGGAUGUCAAGACCUGGUAAGGUUCUUCGCGUUGCUUCGAAUUAAACCACAUACUCCACUGCUUGUGCGGGUCCCCGUCAAUUCCUUUGAGUUUCAGUCUUGCGACCGUACUCCCCAGGCGGAGUGCUUAAUGUGUUAACUUCGGCACCGAGGGCAUGAUACCCCCAACACCUAGCACUCAUCGUUUACAGCGUGGACUAC
Molecule: unclassified non-coding RNA, 378 nt
Filed under: uncultured Paenibacillaceae bacterium
Lineage: Bacteria; Bacillati; Bacillota; Bacilli; Caryophanales; Paenibacillaceae
Description: contains 16S-23S intergenic spacer region
Source: RNAcentral